CAGUAGCCACGGGAAUACGUAGGUGGCAAGCGUUGUCCGGAAUUAUUGGGCGUAAAGGGCUCGCAGGCGGUUUCUUAAGUCUGAUGUGAAAGCCCCCGGCUCAACCGGGGAGGGUCAUUGGAAACUGGGAAACUUGAGUGCAGAAGAGGAGAGUGGAAUUCCACGUGUAGUGGCGAAAUGCGUAGAGAUGUGGAGGAACGCCAGUGGCGAAGGCGACUCUCUGGUCUGUAACUGACGCUGAGGAGCGAAAGCGUGGGGAGCGAACAGGAUUAGAUACCCGUGUAGUCCCUGUCUCUUAUAC
This 301-nucleotide ribosomal RNA is filed under the name uncultured bacterium. RNAcentral's name for it is "partial 16S ribosomal RNA". It matches the Rfam family "Bacterial small subunit ribosomal RNA", at positions 509 to 807 of the family's 1533-position model. The record is from RNAcentral.